This 311-nucleotide unclassified non-coding RNA is filed under the name plant metagenome. RNAcentral describes it as "partial contains 5.8S ribosomal RNA, internal transcribed spacer 2, and large subunit ribosomal RNA". The stretch from base 1 to 106 matches the Rfam family "5.8S ribosomal RNA", at positions 49 to 154 of the family's 154-position model. The record is from RNAcentral.
CGAAAUGCGAUAAGUAGUGUUAAUUGCAGAAUUCAGUGAAUCAUCGAAUCUUUGAACGCACAUUGCGCCCCUUGGUAUUCCAUGGGGCAUGCCUGUUCGAGCGUCAUUUGUACCCUCAAGCUCUGCUUGGUGUUGGGUGUUUGUCCCCGUCUCCGCGCGUGGACUCGCCCCAAAGUGAUUGGCAGCCGGCGUACUGGUCCCGGAGCGCAGCACAUGUCGCGCAAACGAGUGCCUUGGUACGGCGGCGUCCAUAAGCCCCUCUCUCACGCUCUUGACCUCGGAUCAGGUAGGGAUACCCGCUGAACUUAAGC